Molecule: long non-coding RNA, 204 nt
Filed under: Mytilus galloprovincialis (Mediterranean mussel)
Lineage: Eukaryota; Metazoa; Mollusca; Bivalvia; Mytilida; Mytilidae
Source: RNAcentral
GGAAAUUUGUAUAAUCACUCGAAAAAACACGAACGCACUCGAGAAAGGCCGGACUGCUCUCGAAAAAACCGAACACAAACUAAUGUUUUCAAUGCAAUAACACGAUUUUUUGUAUUUUGUUUAAACAUACGAAAAGUCGUGCGAGGUCAUUGACCGUUAUUCGUUUUUGAUUAGAUAACAAAAGAACCCAAAAAGUCAUUCCGG